RNAcentral lists this ribosomal RNA (398 nucleotides) under uncultured bacterium. Its description in RNAcentral is "partial 16S ribosomal RNA". It matches the Rfam family "Bacterial small subunit ribosomal RNA", at positions 523 to 918 of the family's 1533-position model. The record is from RNAcentral.
AUACGUAGGGUGCGAGCGUUGUCCGGAAUUACUGGGCGUAAAGAGCUCGUAGGUGGUUUGUCGCGUCGUCUGUGAAAUUCCGGGGCUUAACUCCGGGCGUGCAGGCGAUACGGGCAUAACUUGAGUACUGUAGGGGAGACUGGAAUUCCUGGUGUAGCGGUGAAAUGCGCAGAUAUCAGGAGGAACACCGGUGGCGAAGGCGGGUCUCUGGGCAGUAACUGACGCUGAGGAGCGAAAGCAUGGGUAGCGAACAGGAUUAGAUACCCUGGUAGUCCAUGCCGUAAACGGUGGGCGCUAGGUGUAGGGGUCUUCCAUGACUUCUGUGCCGUAGCUAACGCAUUAAGCGCCCCGCCUGGGGAGUACGGCCGCAAGGCUAAAACUCAAAGGAAUUGACGGGG